UAAAUUUUUGUGCUUCAAUAUACUUAAUUUAUUUAAAUUUUAUUAUUGUUCCGGUGUGAGAGGCUAGGCCUUCUCCGUUUAUUUUCGGGAUGAUAGGCGUUGCCUUUCCCGACUGAUCGUUAUGGUAGGCUAUGCCUUCACGAUCAGAGAAACACGUGGUAGGCAUUGCCUCCAUGAAUAAAAAUAAAUAAAGGUCAAAAAUGGCAGACUAAGUCUCCUCGGACCUUGAAAUAAGUAAAAGUCAAACUGGUAGACCAUAACUCCUCGAACUUUGAAAAAUGAUCAAUAUGGUAGUCUAAGACUCCUCGGAUCAUGUGGGAGGCUAAGCCUCCAAUUUUAUUUAUGCUCUUUAAAUUUCUGCAAUUUAAAUUCAUACCUUUAGUUUCUGCAUUUCAAUUUCCGUCUUUAUAUAUUAUUAUUCUAUGAAUUCGGUUAUCAUAUCAAAUUUGACAAAGCUCAAAAUAAAUGCCCCUGAUAUUACGGGAAAUAGUUAUAUGACCUGGGCAGUGGGUGCAAAGACGCACCUGAGAAAAAAUGAGCUUUGAGAAAUCAUCGAUAAGUUGAAACUAUAUCGGAUGAGAAAAAGAUAAAGCCAUGAUAAUUUACACCACUUUAAUGAUGGUUUAUAAGAUGAGGUGUAUCAUGAGAAAGAUCUAGAAGAUCUUUGAAUAAUCAAAUCCUUGAAAGAAAGGAUUCACCAAAUUUUUGGAGUUGAUGUAAAUCCUCCGUGAGAAUUGAAAAAGAAAAGAAACUCAUGAUACUAAACGAUCAAAUCGGUCCUUCUUGAAAAGGACAAGGGUGUGGAUGCGGUUGAAACUGCUAUCGUGGUUGUGGAAGAGGACGAAGAAGAAGAUUUCAUCCCUAUGAGAAUAAUGGAAACUUCCACGAAAAAUGAAAGUGGUCGGGUAAUAAAAGGCAAACAGAAAAGGUUUGCAAUAGAUACGGCCAGAAAGAAAAUUAGGUACGUAUUUUUCGUACGCCAAAUAUUUAGCCGAUCUAUAUCGAGAUUCAAAAAGAAAAAGAGAGAGGAAGUGAAAUAAACUUCAUCUCUUAUGAGCCCAGACCAUUUUUUCAUAGCUUGAACACUCAUCUUGAUGAUUCAGAUUUUCUGGUUGGUCCAGAAAAUAAAAAUAAAAUAUCGAUGUGAUAUGAGAAUUAUCUUCCUGAAUAAGAUUUUGAGAUUCAGGAUGGAGAUAGAUGUACCUGGCAGAUAUUGGGUCAUCGUACAUGACUACUAAAGGUAACAAAUAUUUCUCCUCUCUCAAAAUAAGUAAGUACAAUAUCUAUUACUGUAAAAAUUAUUAUUGGCUCUAGAGGAGCUUAUGAUGAAAAGACAUGCAUAAGAAAAGGAUGGCAAAAGUAUAAAUGAGUGGUAAACCUAAAGUUUACUGAUAUAUAGCCAUCUCCAAUAAUGUUAUCCACAUUAUUGUGAAAUACUGAAAAUAAAGGAAACCAUCAUUGGUGUUGAAUCAUCAAACAAGUUCAUAAUAUGUGAUUUCUUUAAGCAGACCCCAAAUUAAGAUCUCACUCAAAAGGAUUUGAAACAUAAUUCUUCCCAAAUGAGAAAACUGAAUAUGUUAUUGGUUCUAGAGUGAGAUUCAGUACGAGAUUUUAGACAUGGAGUGUCAUCAUCUCGAGGGGGAGAAUUAAAGAAUCCUAGUAAGUGGAACAUUGAAAAAAAUUAUGUUCGCACUCGAAAAAGAACUUGAUAAAGUAAACUCAAGUAAGAUGAUCCCCAUGAUCGGGUGUAAACAUGCAGUUGUGCAUGUAAUAAAGACAUAUACAAUCCAGAGGGAUAAAGUAUAUGGAUAAUUAAAAAUAUGCUCGCAAAUUUGCUAGAAGCAUAUGAUAAGUUGAUGGAAUGAGAUAUGUGAAAUGGAUUACAAUGAAAAGUAGAAUAAUCCAUUUACAAAAUGCCUGCCAGACAUUUUGAUGAAAUAAUGAAAUCUCAUAUUCCAGCUGAAAAUGCUCCAAUAAGAAAAUGUGUCCUAAAAGGACGAUAUAUGAGUCUAUAACACACUGGAGACGUGAUAGACAUCUUUGGUUCCAAAGAGUCCUCGAAAAGGAGAAAAAAUAUAAAUAGAGGGUGAAUCUCAUGAUGAGACCGUUGAUAUGGUUAAUACAAUAGUCAGGUACCUGGGUAAAUCAUCGAUGAUGAUAAAGAGAUCUCGAUUAACCAUAUCAGUACGAAUAAAAAGAUGGAACCAAAGAGAAAAUAGAUUGUCGACAAUAAAUGAAAAAGCGCUAUAUAAAUAAGGAUUAUGAAUCUACCUCUAUGUAUGAGGGUAGAGUGAAUUGAUUGGCCAUCAAUUCGAUAUAAAGCUCGUUAGAAAAACGAGAUAUUUUUGGACCAAAAGUCCAAGGUAUAUAUUUCUCCAGAGAAUGAAAUAAAAGAUGACCUUGCGGUAUGAAAAAUGGCUUGUUCCAAGGUCACUGGAGAAUAUUUAAAAAUAGAUGCAGUAUAUUAAAAUGUCUGGCAGGACAUAAACGACUUGAGUUGCAUCUUGAUAUUUAGAAGUCCCUGGAGAGUUAAAGAUGCUCUCGGGAAUGUAUAAAACUCUGGAAGAGUUAGAACACGCCGUAUAUAAGGUAUCUUGAACCAGUAACUGGUGAUAUGUUUAUGGCACAGUUCGCCGAUUGCCAUUUAAUGAGGAUGAAUUUCCAGCGUUAGGGGGAGGAAUUAGAAAAAUUCCUAAAGAGAUUACAUGGUGUACAUAGUCGUUGUUACACCUUGAUCCCCCUGCGAAUCAAAAAGAGCUGAAAAUUCAAGAAAUUGUGCAUUUGCAUAAUUUGGCAAACCAGUUACCAGAUGUGUUCACAGAUACGACAUGAUAUACCCGCUGAAAAUGUUCUAUCAAGAGUUGAUGUUCCUAAAGAACAAUGUGAUGGUAACAAAAUAAAUGAACUUAGGGUUCAGUUAAAGAGGGGGAGACUAGCGGGUUCUAGAGAUAAAAAUCCCCGAAAGAAAUUGGUUGAGAAAAGUUGCAAGGUUCCUGAAGAACCUGAUACUGAAAAAUGUCUGAAAGAAGACAUAAGUGGAAAGGUUCAAAGAGAACCUGAUACUGAAAGAUGUCUGAAAUAAGGCAUAAGUGGAAAGGUUCCAGAAGAACCUGAUACUGAAAAAUGUCUGAAAGAAGGCAUAGAUGAAAAUGGUCAAGAUGAACCAAAUAAAGAUGAUCCAGAUGACGAAAAGGGAACAUAAAAAUAUGAGAUUUCCAUCAACUACACCCUUGAUGAAAGAGUUAUAAGAUAAAAGAUGUUGAUGGAAUGUUCUCCUUUUCUGUCCAAAGAGAUCGAUCAUAAAAGUGAUGAUCCUGAUCCAAGGUCCAUUUUGGAAUGUUAAAAAGACAUGAUUGGGAGGAGUGGCAGAAGGCCAUUCAAAUUGAAUUAUUCUCCCUGAAUAAACGAAAUGUCUUUGGACCUAUAGUCAUAACGCCUGAGAAUAUAAAUCUUGUUGGGUAUAAGUGGGUAUUCGUGAGAAAAGUAACACGAUAUAAAACCUGAUUAGUUGCCCCAAGAUUUUCUCAGAGACCGGAAAUUGAUUUUGAGGAAAUGUAUUCUCCGGUAAUGGAUGCAAUUAUGUUUAGAUUUUUGAUGAGCCUAAUGGCAUCUAAAAAUCUUGAAAUGCAUCUUAUAGACGUUUUGACUACAUAUUUGUAUUGAUCGUUGGAUAACGAUAUAUGUAUGAAACUCCCUGAGAGAUUGAAAAAGCCAGGGGCAUUGAAAGAAAAAAGAAUCCAGGGAGAUUUGUUCGGUCAAGUUACAUCGAUCACUUUACGGAUUAAAGCAAUCCGAACGCAUGUGGUACAAUCGCUUAAGUGAAUAUCUUUUGAGUAAAUGAUAUGUGAAUGAUGCGAUAUGUCCAUGCGUUUUUAUAAAGAAAUCGUCAUCUGUCUUUGUGAUCAUUGAUGUAUAUGUAGAUGACCUGAACAUAAUUGGAACUCAAAUGGAGAUUGAUGAUGCUCGAACUCAUAUGAAAGAGGAGUUCGAAAUGAAAGAUCUCGGAAAGAUAAAGUUUUGUCUUGGGCUCCCGAUAGAGCAUCUCCGAAAAAGAAUAAUUGUGCAUCAAUCAAAUCAUACGAAAAGGCUAUUAAAACGCUUUUGUAUGAAUAAAGCGACUCCUUUGAGUACUCCAAUGAUAAAUAGAUCUCUCGAUGUUGAAAGAGAUGUUUAAAAGAUCCUUGUAAGAUCUUACAUAAAUAAGUACUUUGGAGAUGCUAAUGGUAAUAAAGCAUAUGUGAGCUUAUAUAUCUUGCGAGUUGUAUUUGAUUAAAUAUAUUUUUAGAUACUAAUGUCUUUGCAAGAUCCUGCUCAUUUCCUAUUCAUGAAAAUUAGAACGGUGUCGAGAAUAUCCGUUCUCUCCAAGGUAUGUUUUAAAUUAGGGUUGAUUUAUUCUAGAAAACCCGAGUUUGGUAUGGUUUUGCAGAUACAUGCUAUUUAUAAAGUCGAACACAAACUGGAUAUGGUUUUACAAUUGGUGAAACCGCGAUUACAUAGCGUUCCGAGAAACGAUCCUAGGUUUCGACUUCUUCAAAGCAUGUCGAGAAUAUGUGUGGCUUCGGUCAAUGAGUGACCACAUAUAAGAAUUAAGCGGAAUAGUUAACGAGAAAGAGCUGACGAAAAUAUUUGAGAAUAAUUCGGCGUGGGUCGCUCAACUCAAAGAAAGCUAUAACUAGAGUGAAGUACAUCCCUCCAAGAUUUUUCUCAUACAUACGAGAACUCGAAAAAAAUAAAGAAGUGGACAUCGAGUAUGUAUGGUCAUACGAUAAUUGGGCUGACUUGUUCACAAAAGCUCUUCCGACUACAACAUUCCAGAAUGCAACAUUUGCGUGAUAUGUGACGAGAAAACUAUGUCCACUAUUCUCAGGGGGAGAUUACGGCAGUGUACUCUGUUUUCCUUGACAUGGUUUUUGUCCCAAUGGGUUUUUCAAUGACCAGAUUUUUAACGAGACACUACGUAAUACAAAAUGGAUAAUCAAGGGGGAGUAUUAUGAGAUAAGACUAACUUUGGAUAAUGAUUAUCCAUUAAGCAAAAUAUCUUGUUUUGUUUUUUUGUAUUAAGUCGGUCAAUCUAACCGACUUCUUCCCUUAUAUAUAUUGCUCUCAUGUUCAUUUGUAAAAGUUAAGUUAAUAAGAAGAAAAAGACUCAUCCUUUGACUCUCUCUUACGUAAUACAUAUAUUAUAAAAGUCACCAUCUUAUAUCCCUCUCUCCACCGAUCAACCGAUAUAUAUAUAUAAAGAAAGAAGAAUAACAUCAGAUCCUUACUUUUUUUUUUUACAACACUAAAGUUAUUUUUUACUGACAAAAAAUGGUUUACAAAGCACACGAUUUGUCUUUUCAUCAACGUCUCUUGUAAAAAAGGUCGAACAAAUAAUAAAACAAAAUAAAUCGCGGCGACUUCAUGCUCAGCUUGUUGUGCCUCCGUCGUCACUGCCGGGAUUUCACCUUGUUGAACUGGCAUCAUCUCCUCCAUAUUAGGUCCCACAUUCCCAUGCUGGUAUUGAUCACAAAGUUGAUUAUUUGUUUUUUUAAAUAUUUAUAUUGCUACUAAUACUUAGUGUAGUAAUUGAUUAAAAAUAUCAAAGACCUGGUUGAUAGAAGCGAAUAACGCCGAGGAUGAGUACGCUUGAGCCCACUCAGUGAACAUUUCACCGUUAUUAUUUGUCACGUGGCAUUCGCUCAUAUUGUUUUGGUUAGAACUUGAGCUACUCCCUUGCAACAAUGGUUCAUACAUAGCCGAUGACAAUUCUCUGCCAAUUUUUGUUUUAACCCAAAAAUAAUUAAAAACCAUUUAUGAAGAAACUGUACUAAUGUAAAUGUUUUGAUCUGAACACAAAGAUAUACUUAGAGUAAGCUUAUAAAACUAUGAAAUACCUGAGUUGAUUAGAAUGGGCCGAUGGAUCAAAUAAAUGGGUUUGGUUGGGUCCAUUUUCAGGCAACCAACCUUCUACGACUCCGUUUAAGAAAGGACCUACAAUGCUUUGUUGCAUAGUAGAUGCUUCGUAUGUAGGUAAAUGGCCGCUUAAGAGAUUCUCUCGUCGUUGGACAACAUGUGUUAACGUGUCGAGAAGUUGCUUCUCACAAACAUCAUAAUCCUCCAUGCUAGUGAAUCUUACUGGAUCCGGUUCGUAUCUCCUGCUCAAAUUAGGUUAUAUAAAGGGAUCAUUAAUUUAAUUAACAUCGUUUAUAAAUUAUAAACAUAUAGAACUUGUUUUUUUCGAACUAAAACCUUAGUUCUUCUUCUGCCAUUUGGAGUUGUUGUUGUAACCUACAGACUUCUUGCUCAAGUUCCUAGAUAUUCGGUUUACAAGAGA
Molecule: RNA transcript, 6316 nt
Organism: Brassica napus (rape)
Lineage: Eukaryota; Viridiplantae; Streptophyta; Magnoliopsida; Brassicales; Brassicaceae
Exons: 2
Source: RefSeq, a predicted model, not a curated record